RNAcentral lists this ribosomal RNA (497 nucleotides) under uncultured bacterium. RNAcentral's name for it is "partial 16S ribosomal RNA". It matches the Rfam family "Bacterial small subunit ribosomal RNA", at positions 28 to 507 of the family's 1533-position model. The record is from RNAcentral.
GAUGAACGCUGGCGGCGUGCCUAAUACAUGCAAGUCGAGCGAACGGACGAGAAGCUUGCUUCUCUGAUGUUAGCGGCGGACGGGCGAGUAACACGUGGAUAACCUACCUAUAAGACUGGGAUAACUUCGGGAAACCGGAGCUAAUACCGGAUAAUAUUUUGAACCGCAUGGUUCAAAAGUGAAAGACGGUCUUGCUGUCACUUAUAGAUGGAUCCGCGCUGCAUUAGCUAGUUGGUAAGGUAACGGCUUACCAAGGCAACGAUGCAUAGCCGACCUGAGAGGGGGAUCGGCCACACUGGAACUGAGACACGGUCCAGACUCCUACGGGAGGCAGCAGUAGGGAAUCUUCCGCAAUGGGCGAAAGCCUGACGGAGCAACGCCGCGUGAGUGAUGAAGGUCUUCGGAUCGUAAAACUCUGUUAUUAGGGAAGAACAUAUGUGUAAGUAACUGUGCACAUCUUGACGGUACCUAAUCAGAAAGCCACGGCUAACUACGUG